Molecule: ribosomal RNA, 423 nt
Filed under: uncultured bacterium
Lineage: Bacteria
Description: bacterial SSU rRNA
Rfam family: Bacterial small subunit ribosomal RNA
Source: RNAcentral
AAGACCUUGCGCUUUUGGAGCGGCCGAUGUCUGAUUAGCUAGUUGGUGGGGUAAUGGCCUACCAAAGCUUCGAUCAGUAGCUGGUCUGAGAGGACGGCCAGCCACACUGGGACUGAGACACGGCCCAGACUCCUACGGGAGGCAGCAGUGGGGAAUUUUGAACAAUGGGCGCAAGCCUGAUCCAGCCAUGCCGCGUGAGUGAAGAAGGCCUUCGGGUUGUAAAGCUCUUUCAGCCGGGAAGAAAAGGUUGCGAUUAAUAAUCGCAAUUGAUGACGGUACCGGAAGAAGAAGCACCGGCUAACUACGUGCCAGCAGCCGCGGUAAUACGUAGGGUGCGAGCGUUAAUCGGAAUUACUGGGCGUAAAGGGUGCGCAGGCGGUUUUGUAAGUCAGAUGUGAAAUCCCCGGGCUUAACCUGGGAACU